AGUCGAACGGUAACAGGUCUUCGGAUGCUGACGAGUGGCGAACGGGUGAGUAAUACAUCGGAACGUGCCCGAUCGUGGGGGAUAACGAGGCGAAAGCUUUGCUAAUACCGCAUACGAUCUACGGAUGAAAGCGGGGGAUCUUCGGACCUCGCGCGGACGGAGCGGCCGAUGGCAGAUUAGGUAGUUGGUGGGAUAAAAGCUUACCAAGCCGACGAUCUGUAGCUGGUCUGAGAGGAUGAUCAGCCACACUGGGACUGGGACACGGCCCAGACUCCUACGGGAGGCAGCAGUGGGGAAUUUUGGACAAUGGGCGAAAGCCUGAUCCAGCCAUGCCGCGUGCAGGAUGAAGGCCUUCGGGUUGUAAACUGCUUUUGUACGGAACGAAAAGCCUCUUUCUAAUAAAGAGGGGUCAUGACGGUACCGUAAGAAUAAGCACCGGCUAACUACGUGCCAGCAGCCGCGGUAAUACGUAGGGUGCAAGCGUUAAUCGGAAUUACUGGGCGUAAAGCGUGCGCAGGCGGUUUUGUAAGACAGAGGUGAAAUCCCCGGGCUCAACCUGGGAACUGCCUUUGUGACUGCAAGGCUGGAGUGCGGCAGAGGGGGAUGGAAUUCCGCGUGUAGCAGUGAAAUGCGUAGAUAUGCGGAGGAACACUGAUGGCGAAGGCAAUCCCCUGGGCCUGCACUGACGCUCAUGCACGAAAGCGUGGGGAGCAAACAGGAUUAGAUACCCUGGUAGUCCACGCCCUAAACGAUGUCAACUGGUUGUUGGGUCUUCACUGACUCAGUAACGAAGCUAACGCGUGAAGU
RNAcentral lists this ribosomal RNA (807 nucleotides) under uncultured bacterium. RNAcentral's name for it is "bacterial SSU rRNA". It matches the Rfam family "Bacterial small subunit ribosomal RNA", at positions 60 to 865 of the family's 1533-position model. The record is from RNAcentral.